RNAcentral lists this long non-coding RNA (1352 nucleotides) under Panax ginseng (ginseng). RNAcentral describes it as "long non-coding RNA (PGIN_LNC017400)". The record is from RNAcentral. Lineage: Eukaryota; Viridiplantae; Streptophyta; Magnoliopsida; Apiales; Araliaceae.
AAUUUUCUUAACAUGUGCGCUUAGGCCACAUGCUAAGCACGGAAUUUAAGGGAUAAACACUUAAUUCAAAUGAUAGGACCCACUGAAAUAUAAUUUUUAAAUGCAUAUGGUCCCAUUGAAUAACAAAUGUAAUCAAUGAUUAAAUCAAGACAAAUUAAUCAAUCUAAAUGAUUACUCGUUCUUUUGUUUUUUAUUUAUAUUUACAAUAAUACAUACAUAAAAAUUAAUCAUAUUUUAGCUCAUACAUAGUAAAAUUUAAAAAAAUCAAAUAAUAAUACUCCAUCUAUAUACACACAAUGACAUAUAGUUUAAUUAUGUAAUACUCCAAUAUAACAUUAAUUUAAUUAAUAUAUAAUUAUUCGGGGGCGGGGGAGCAAAUAUCAUUCCUUCCCCAUCUCCUUAAAUAACAUUCGGUGAUUUCUCAUCCUCAAUUACAGUCAAAAUCAUCGUCUCCAUUUGAGGUGGGGGGUGGAGAUCACCGGCUAUUGGCAUAGAAACCGAAGUACAAAGGUGUUGUACUCUAUUUUGUUUUUACUUUUUAACUGAAAACCCACUCCUCUGAGAAUAUCAUUUCUAAGACCAAGAAACCCCAUACCUCUAUCAUCUCUUUCGCUACAGUUUCUCUCUUUCUCUCUCCUCCUAUCUCCCCGUCUGCCACCAAUCAAACCGCCACCACCAUGGCGAGCCGUGAUGGGCGCCACCCAAAACCCGGACGACUACGGCGACGUGGAGUUCUGGUUGAACCGGAGAGAACCGAAAUAUGAGGGUUCAGUGCUUGUAUUCAGUGGAGAGAGAAAGCGGUAGGAAUCGAGGAAGAGAAUGAAGGGGCGAAGGUGCCGGAGGAGAGAUGAGAGAUCGAGAGGGGGGAGUCAUUUGGGAUCUCGAAGAACACUGGAGUAGAUUCGUAGAGAGCAACUGAGAUAGUGAGAUGGAAUUAGGGAAAUGAGAUCUGCUUUUUUUUCCCCAAAAAAUAUGGAUCUAUGGCCAUGGAAUUGGGAAUUGGGCAUGGAACUGAAAUAGAAUUGUAGAUCUAUUUUUCCCCAAGAUGGGCCAUGGAAUUAAGAAUUGGCCCGUCCAAAUUUAUAAGUUUAUUUGACUUAUUUAUAUCAGGCCCAUCAUACAAAUAUUAAAUUUCUUUUUUUUAAUAAAUAUGUUCGGUUAUUCGGGUAACCGAAUAUGAUGAUUUUAAUAACCGAAAUCGAAUACCGAAUAAAAAUUCGGAUAUAACCGAAUUACAAAUAAUAACCGAAUUAUUAAGAAAUUUCGGUUAAAAAAAUUCGGUUCGCUUCGAUUUUUUGGUUAUAUCCGUUUUUUGCUCAGUCCUAUCUCCCAUAGCGGAAGAGCAUCCAAAG